This 253-nucleotide ribosomal RNA is filed under the name uncultured bacterium. Its description in RNAcentral is "partial 16S ribosomal RNA". It matches the Rfam family "Bacterial small subunit ribosomal RNA", at positions 524 to 776 of the family's 1533-position model. The record is from RNAcentral.
UACGAAGGGGGCUAGCGUUGCUCGGAAUCACUGGGCGUAAAGCGCACGUAGGCGGCUUUCUAAGUCAGGGGUGAAAUCCUGGAGCUCAACUCCAGAACUGCCUUUGAUACUGGAGAGCUCGAGUCCGGAAGAGGUGAGUGGAACUCCGAGUGUAGAGGUGAAAUUCGUAGAUAUUCGGAAGAACACCAGUGGCGAAGGCGGCUCACUGGUCCGGUACUGACGCUGAUGUGCGAAAGCGUGGGGAGCAAACAGG